Paramisgurnus dabryanus is the source of this 690-nucleotide non-coding RNA. The record is from RefSeq and is a predicted model, not a curated record. NCBI's taxonomy places the organism in Eukaryota, Metazoa, Chordata, Actinopteri, Cypriniformes, Cobitidae.
UAAUACUACCUUUUUCUGUUCAAUCCAUAGAGCACUCAUUUUCCCUCUUGAGACCAUGGUGUGACCUGCAAGGUCGAAUGGAGACUGUAAGCGAGACAAUCUUGGAGUCACCUGCAUUGACUGGUCCAGUUGUUAGUCCAAUUACAGAUGGAGAUUAUAGAAGAGGAUGAUGUCUUUUCUCCAAAAUCUUUCUAGACUGAUAAAAGAUCUAGACAGGCUCGAACAAAAGUUAACAGAGGGGCUUAUAUAGAGAAUGGUAAGAACCAUUUUAUCCGUCAAACUUUUUACCAAUUAUUGUAAACAUAAACAAUAUUAUAGGGCUUAAUUUGUUUUAAACAUUACUUCAAUGUACUGUAUCUGUUUAAGGUGAGCAGCUACACAUAAAAGAAGAACAUGGAGAAUCUGCCCAGAGGUGUUAACCAGCAAUGCAGCUAUACAACUAAAUUGAUGCAGGCGGAAACAAUGUGUAAUGCAGCUGCUGCAGAUGAAGAAUCCGUCCGUCUACCACUGAAGGAGACGCGGAAAAUCGGGAAAAGAUGUUCUUUGCCCGAGGAAGCAUUUGAUUAAUUUAAAGAUAUUGUGUUUCUUUGUAUGUUAUAGAAAAACGUUGCUUUUUUGCAUACACUCGUGUAAAUAUGCAUCUUAUGAAUGUUUUCCUUUGUCUAAUUUUAAUAAAUUUUACGCAAUCAA